UGAACGCUGGCGGCAUGCUUUACACAUGCAAGUCGAACGGUAACGCGGGCUUCGGCCUGGCGACGAGUGGCGAACGGGUGAGUACAACAUCGGAACGUAUCCUGAAGUGGGGGAUAGCCCGGCGAAAGCCGGAUUAAUACCGCAUGAUCUCUUAGGAGCAAAGCGGGGGAGCCGUAAGGUCCUCGCGCUAUUGGAGCGGCCGAUGCCGGAUUAGCUUGUUGGUGGGGUAAAGGCCUACCAAGGCAACGAUCCGUAGCUGGUCUGAGAGGAUGAUCAGCCACACUGGAACUGAGACACGGUCCAGACUCCUACGGGAGGCAGCAGUGGGGAAUUUUGGACAAUGGGGGCAACCCUGAUCCAGCCAUGCCGCGUGCGGGAAGAAGGCCUUCGGGUUGUAAACCGCUUUCAUACGGGACGAAAUGGUGCAGGUUAAUACCCUGUAUUGAUGACGGUACCGUAAGAAGAAGCACCGGCUAACUAC
RNAcentral lists this ribosomal RNA (481 nucleotides) under uncultured bacterium. RNAcentral's name for it is "bacterial SSU rRNA". It matches the Rfam family "Bacterial small subunit ribosomal RNA", at positions 30 to 504 of the family's 1533-position model. The record is from RNAcentral.